This 1664-nucleotide ribosomal RNA is filed under the name Lenisaphelenchus ulomae. Its description in RNAcentral is "SSU rRNA". It matches the Rfam family "Eukaryotic small subunit ribosomal RNA". The record is from RNAcentral. Lineage: Eukaryota; Metazoa; Nematoda; Chromadorea; Rhabditida; Aphelenchoididae.
GUGAACUGCGGACGGCUCAUUACAACAGAUAUAAUUUCCCAGUUAAUUUUUUUAAAUGGAUAACUGCGGUAAUUCUGGAGCUAAUACAUGCACUAAGUCAUGUUCCUUCGGAGCAUGAUGCUUUUAUCUGUGCAAAACCAAUUAUAUUUGGUUGUUUACUCUGGAUAAAUGAGCUUAUCGCACGGCCUAGUGCCGGCGAAAUUACUGUCAAGUAUCUGCUCUAUCAACUGUCGUUGGUAGUGUAUUGGACUACCAUGGUGUUGACGGGUAACGGAGAAUAAGGGUUCGACUCCGGAGAGGGAGCCUUAGAAACGGCUACCAUGUCUAAGGAUAGCAGCAGGCACGAAAAUUACCCACUGUCAAAAUGAUGAGGUAGUAACGAGAAAUAACGAGACCGUUCUCUUUGAGGUCGGUCAUUGGAAUGAGUAAAAUCCAGAUGCUUUAACGAGUAUCUACGAGAGGGCAAGUCUGGUGCCAGCAGCCGCGGUAAUUCCAGCUCUCGUAAGGUAUAGAAUUAUUGCUGUGGUUAAAAAGUUCGUAGUUGAAUUUAAAAGUUGGUACGGGUCUACCUUCAUGGUUAGUACUCGUUGCCUUCAGUUUGCUGUGUUGUGCGCUAUUCAUUUUUCAUGAUGGGUGGUUGCGCUCAUAGCAGGAUUACUUUGAACGGUUUAAGUGCUCAAAGCACGUCUUAUGACCGAAUACCGGUGCAUGGAAUAAUGGAAUAAGGCUUCGGCCAAGUUUUGUUGGUUUUCUCGGCUGAAACAAUGGUUAACAGGAACAGCCGGGGGCAUCCGUAUCGUUACGCGAGAGGUGAAAUUCGUGGACCGUAGCGAGACGACCUAAAGCGCGAGCACUUGCCAAGAGUGUUUUCAUUAAUCAAGAACGAAAGUCAGAGGUUCGAAGGCGAUUAGAUACCGCCCUAGUUCUGACCGUAAACUAUGCCAACUGCCGAUUCGCUUGUGGAUUCAAUUCAUAAGCGAGGAGGUUCCCGGAAACGAAAGUUUUUCGGUUCCGGGGGAAGUAUGGUUGCAAAGCUGAAACUUAAAGGAAUUGACGGAAGGGCACCACCAGGAGUGGAGCUUGCGGCUUAAUUUGACUCAACACGGGAAAUCUCACCCGGCCAGUACAUUGUAAGGAUUGACAGACUGAUAGCUCUUUCAUGAUCCGGUGAAUGGUGGUGCAUGGCCGUUCUUAGUUCGUGGAUUGAUUUGUCUGGUUUAUUCCGAUAACGAACGAGACUUUAACUAUUAAAUAGAGCAUCUGUAUAAAUUCAUGGCAGGUGAUCUCUUCUUAAAAGAAUUUGGCGUUUCCAACGUCAAGAGAUUGAGCAAUAACAGGUCUGUGAUGCCCUUAGAUGUUCGGGGCCGCACGCGUGCUACAAUGAUGGUAACAGCGCGCUUGUCCUUCCCCGAGAGGGGUUGGCAAACGGUUGAGAUAUUAUUAUGUCUGGAAUUGAGGUUUGAAAUUUUUCCUCAUGAACGAGGAAUUCCAAGUAAAUGUGAGUCAUUAACUUGCAUUGAUUACGUCCCUGCCCUUUGUACACACCGCCCGUCGCUGCCCGGGACUGGGUUAUCUCGAGAAGACUAGGGAUUGUUGAUGUUUUUGGUGACUUGUGUCAUUGGCAUCGAUGAGAACGAGUUUAAUCGCGGUGGCCUGAACCGGGC